ACGGAAUAGAUACCCAGGUAGUCCACGCCCUAAACGAUGUCUACUAGUUGUUGGUGGAGUAAAGUCCAUGAGUAAACGCAGCUAAACGCGUGAAGUAGACCGCCUGGGGAGUACGGUCGCAAGAUUAAAACUCAAAUGAAUUGACGGGGGCCCGCACAAGCGGUGGAUUAUGUGGAUUAAUUCGAUGCAACGCGAAAAACCUUACCUGGCCUUGACAUGUAACGAACUUUCCAGAGAUGGAUUGGUGCUCGAAAGAGAACGUUAACACAGGUGCUGCAUGGCUGUCGUCAGCUCGUGUCGUGAGAUGUUGGGUUAAGUCCCGCAACGAGCGCAACCCUUGCCAUUAAUUGCCAUCAUUUAGUUGGGCACUUUAAUGGGACUGCCGGUGACAAACCGGAGGAAGGUGGGGAUGACGUCAAGUCCUCAUGGCCCUUAUGGCCAGGGCUUCACACGUAAUACAAUGGUCGGUACAGAGGGUUGCCAACCCGCGAGGGGAGCCAAUCCCAGAAAGCCGAUCGUAGUCCGGAUUGUAGUCUGCAACUCGAC
RNAcentral lists this ribosomal RNA (546 nucleotides) under uncultured bacterium. RNAcentral describes it as "bacterial SSU rRNA". It matches the Rfam family "Bacterial small subunit ribosomal RNA", at positions 772 to 1316 of the family's 1533-position model. The record is from RNAcentral.